Molecule: ribosomal RNA, 253 nt
Filed under: uncultured Lachnospiraceae bacterium
Lineage: Bacteria; Bacillati; Bacillota; Clostridia; Lachnospirales; Lachnospiraceae
Description: partial 16S ribosomal RNA
Rfam family: Bacterial small subunit ribosomal RNA
Source: RNAcentral
UACGUAGGGGGCAAGCGUUAUCCGGAUUUACUGGGUGUAAAGGGAGCGUAGACGGCAAUACAAGUCGGAAGUGAAAUACCCGGGCUCAACCUGGGAACUGCUUUGGAAACUGUAUGGCUGGAGUGCUGGAGAGGUAAGCGGAAUUCCUAGUGUAGCGGUGAAAUGCGUAGAUAUCAGGAGGAACACCGGCGGCGAAGGCGGCCUGCUGGACCGCGACUGACGUUGAGGCUCGAAAGCGUGGGGAGCGAACAGG